Molecule: ribosomal RNA, 489 nt
Filed under: uncultured bacterium
Lineage: Bacteria
Description: partial 16S ribosomal RNA
Rfam family: Bacterial small subunit ribosomal RNA
Source: RNAcentral
GAUGAACGCUAGCGGCAGGCUUAAUACAUGCAAGUCGAGGGGCAGCAGGACUGUAGCAAUACAGUUGCUGGCGACCGGCAAACGGGUGCGUAACACGUACGCAACCUACCCAAAACUGGGGGAUAGCCCGGGGAAACCCGGAUUAAUACCUCGUAACCUUUUUAAGUGGCAUCACUUGAUAAGUAUAGCUCCGGCGGUUUUGGAUGGGCGUGCGCCUGAUUAGGUAGUUGGUGCGGGUAACGGCCCACCAAGCCUGCGAUCAGUAACUGGUGUGAGAGCACGACCAGUCACACGGGCACUGAGACACGGGCCCGACUCCUACGGGAGGCAGCAGUAAGGAAUAUUGGUCAAUGGACGCAAGUCUGAACCAGCCAUGCCGCGUGAAGGAUGAAGGUCCUCUGGAUUGUAAACUUCUUUUAUGGGGGACGAAACCCGGAUAUUCUUAUCCGAUUGACGGUACCUCAGGAAUAAGCACCGGCUAACUCCGUG